AGCUGGUCUGAGUGCAGCGGUGUUUACGGCUGACUGACCACAAUCAGUUACGGGUUGCUUGGGCCUUCUCCAUUCCCACUGCUUCACUUGACUAGCCACAG
Molecule: Y RNA, 101 nt
Filed under: Rhinopithecus roxellana (golden snub-nosed monkey)
Lineage: Eukaryota; Metazoa; Chordata; Mammalia; Primates; Cercopithecidae
Description: Y RNA (ENSRROG00000008701.1)
Rfam family: Y RNA
About the family: Y RNAs are components of the Ro ribonucleoprotein particle (Ro RNP), in association with Ro60 and La proteins. The Y RNAs and Ro60 and La proteins are well conserved, but the function of the Ro RNP is not known.
Source: Rfam by way of RNAcentral